Molecule: non-coding RNA, 859 nt
Organism: Aegilops tauschii subsp. strangulata
Lineage: Eukaryota; Viridiplantae; Streptophyta; Magnoliopsida; Poales; Poaceae
Source: RefSeq, a predicted model, not a curated record
UCCUACAAGAUAGUUCUUGCAUGUGCGCUAAUGUACUGAUGUGUAUAGAAUUUGCAUGCGACAUUCCUGAAGGUAAUAAAAUGUGUACACUUGACCUUCUGCAACAUAUGUUACAUUUUAAACUGAAUUACCGAGCUACCUGGAUUCAGUAAUUUAGUCGUUUCGUGAUGUUGCAGAUGUUGUGAUACUAUAAAGCAAAUAUAAUUUGAAAUAUUAGUUUGUGCUAGGGAAACUGUCAGUUAAAGUUGUAAUUUUAUCUAACCAGCUUCGGUGGUUGCUUAUUCGUUUCAGUAAUUGGAAUUGCUUUUGCUUUGAACAUGCGCUUGAGAAUUCUGAUAUGGUGUGGUGUUCUCAUAAGUGGGCUCAGCACUCUGAUGCUCCUGUUCCCGCAACAAUACAGGGGAUGAUGUGUUUGCUGUCACUUGUGAUAUAACAAAACUAGAUCAAGAGUGAUACCUACGAAGUGGAGAUGCAAGUCUCUUUUUCCACGAAGAUAACUCCUAUGGACUUGUAUUGUUUCCUUUUACUGAAGGGCCUUGAUACAAGAUAUACUUAAAGUAUUUUUCAGUUUUAUCAGUUGGUGAUACCUCAUUCAUUAUUACUAAACCACAUCAGUAGUUCCGUCUUGUAGAAAAUACCUUGAGCAUGUUUAGAACAUGAUGUGUCAAUGUGUCAUAUUCAUGCAAUUUGUCUGCUUGUUUUGCAGCUGAAAAAUCAUGUGGUACCAAUCGAUGGCUAUAAGGCCUGUCAGCAACCUAUUAGCGUAAGAAUAUCUGGCAGCGCAAGAGCAUUUCAGCUAUACUCCCAGAUUUGAAUGCAAUUGUGUUCUCACUAACUUAUUUAAUAUAAUUUUACCACA